RNAcentral lists this ribosomal RNA (459 nucleotides) under uncultured bacterium. RNAcentral's name for it is "partial 16S ribosomal RNA". It matches the Rfam family "Bacterial small subunit ribosomal RNA", at positions 338 to 795 of the family's 1533-position model. The record is from RNAcentral.
CCUACGGGUGACAGCAGUGAGGAAUAUUGGUCAAUGGGCGAGAGGCUGAACCAGCCAAGUCGCGUGAGGGAUGACGGCCCUACGGAUUGUAAACCUCUUUUGUCGGGGAGCAAAAGACGGCACGCGUGCCGCUCCGAGAGUACCCGAAGAAAAAGCAUCGGCUAACUCCGUGCCAGCAGCCGCGGUAAUACGGAGGAUGCGAGCGUUAUCCGGAUUUAUUGGGUUUAAAGGGUGCGCAGGCGGAAGAUCAAGUCAGCGGUAAAAUUGAGAGGCUCAACCUCUUCGAGCCGUUGAAACUGCGUUUCUUGAGUGAGUGAGAAGUAUGCGGAAUGCGUGGUGUAGCGGUGAAAUGCAUAGAUAUCACGCAGAACUCCGAUUGCGAAGGCAGCGUACCGGCGCUCAACUGACGCUCAUGCACGAAAGUGUGGGUAUCGAACAGGAUUAGAUACCCGAGUAGUC